GCAUAGACACUAAAACCAUAAGGAAUUAAAAACAUUCUUUACCAAGAAAACAUUUCUUAAAAAAAAUAUAUAAAGCAAGCGGAAGACUUUCUAGACUUUAUACAUGAUGUCUCAUAACCAUCUAAUACUUUAGAGUACAAAAUUCGGGACUAAUCCCGUACACAACUUAAACAAUACUAAAAAGACAUAAAAGAAUAUAUUGGGUAUUGUCCUCGAAUCUAUGAGGACUCACCAAGUCUUCAUCUUCAACACUUAGA
This 257-nucleotide long non-coding RNA is filed under the name Solanum tuberosum (potato). Its description in RNAcentral is "long non-coding RNA (STUB_LNC004786)". Lineage: Eukaryota; Viridiplantae; Streptophyta; Magnoliopsida; Solanales; Solanaceae. The record is from RNAcentral.